This is a long non-coding RNA of Zonotrichia albicollis (white-throated sparrow), 1403 nucleotides long. RefSeq lists it as uncharacterized. The record is from RefSeq and is a predicted model, not a curated record. NCBI's taxonomy places the organism in Eukaryota, Metazoa, Chordata, Aves, Passeriformes, Passerellidae.
GGAAAGAGGAGAAAUGUCUGCCCUUUGCAGCUAACAAAAUCACAGCCUGCCUCUUCAUAUUAUAACGUAGUAACGUGAGGUGGAAGAGUUCUGCAUAAGAAAAGUCCAAAACUUGUCCUUAAGCAGACACUGUGACCAUAAAUAUGGUGGCUCGUCCCUAUUGAACUCCAGUAUGGUAACCUAGCCUACACUGGGACUCUUCUAGACCCAAGAAAAAGAGGUGCAAGAUUUUAAGAGCAAAUCUUAAAGCGAAUUUCCCACUGUUGCUCUCAAUUGCCUGGAAGAAAAAUGAGGACCAGUAUUAAAUGCUCGUGAAAGUGCAAAAUUGGAAAACAAGAUUUAGACCAAGGAAAAAGAUUGCAGAAAGUUUACUAAUUAUUACAAAUAGAGCUGAAACAUUGCAUUUUUGAUAUCAACCACUGUGAAUGGAUGUUUGAAUAGCUUGGUUCAGCAGCCCUUAGAAUGAUGCUAUCAGCCAGCAUUACUGGUCUCCUAUUACACUGAAAAAUAUAGAAUUGUUUAACAACUUCCUUAGGUAAGAAAUGCCUAGUCCCCUGCAAAAAUGAGGGUAAGAUAUAAGAAGGCCAAUCUAGCUUUAGUGUCACUGUUUGUAUUUGCACUAGAUAAUGUGAACAAUUUUUAAUAACAAUAAAACCAGCCUGUUACACCUAUUGUUAAAAAGUGCUGAAUAUUUUUGGUAAAUCAUUUCAAAUGAAAAGUAAAGUAAAAAAUUGUAAGUGAAAGUUUUGGUGAUCUGGUGUCACCACAACUUCACAUAAGCCUGAAAUACUGAAUGUUCCCAUAGAUUCCAGACUACAAGGUUUCUGAUGUUUAAUCUGAAUAUUUGAGAAAAUGUGUAUAGUUCAGCCUGCCUCAAGAUAGACAUGUUUGCAUGCCAUCCUGUAAAUGCUGUGGCUAUCUAUCAGAGAGACACUUCUAGAUAGAAAGAUAUAUUUUUAUAUCUGGGCAGAUACAUAGAUAAAUGUACAUAUUUAUAAAAUUAAUAAAUUACAGUGGCUGUAUAGCUCAAAUAUAAUGCAGAUAUAAAUGGGAAAUCAUCAUUGAAACAAGAGAAAUGUAGUGUAUAAGUCAUCCCUUGAAAAGUGUUACAGGAGUAUACCUUCUCCUAUUUCAUACUUAGAAAACACCCAGACCCUUAAAUAUGACAUUUCCUGCAGAUCCAGAUAAUGCAAAAUGACAUCCUUAUUGUUCAUUUCAGCUCUUGUUGAAUCACCCGAUGCAAUUGUGGAGAUAGCAUAUAUUUCUCAAUAUCAUAAUGGGCAUAACAAACAAAGUCCUUUCCAUGUUCUUGAUUCUGCCAAAAGCCAAAUGGCUUUGACUUUCCACUUUGAACAAUCAUUCUCCACAAGCCAAGCAUAAAGAACUUGAGUUAUGAUUUCUGU